AAUGGAGGCAACUCUGACCCAGCCAUGCCGCGUGCAGGAAGACGGCCCUCUGGGUUGUAAACUGCUUUUGAAUGGGAAGAAUGUGUGGCUUGCGAGCUAUAAUGACGGUACCAUUAGAAUAAGCCACGGCUAACUACGUGCCAGCAGCCGCGGUAAUACGUAGGUGGCGAGCGUUAUCCGGAUUUAUUGGGUUUAAAGGGUGCGUAGGCGGCUUAAUAAGUCGGUGGUAAAAGGUAGCAGCUUAACUGUUUUACAUGCCAUCGAUACUGUUGAGCUUGAGUUAUUUGGAGGCAGCUAGAAUUUCCGGUGUAGCGGUGAAAUGCAUAGAUACCGGAAGGAAUACCGAUUGCGAAGGCAGGUUGCUACGAAUAUACUGACGCUGAUGCACGAAAGCGUGGGGAUCAAA
This 406-nucleotide ribosomal RNA is filed under the name uncultured bacterium. RNAcentral's name for it is "bacterial SSU rRNA". It matches the Rfam family "Bacterial small subunit ribosomal RNA", at positions 370 to 772 of the family's 1533-position model. The record is from RNAcentral.